AUGAAAGUGGAAAGGGAUAAAAGGCAUCAAAAGAAAGGCAAAUGGUCCUCCCCUCCUCCCCUGAAGUCCUCCUCAUGCAAAACAAAGGUUCACAGACUAGAAAAAAUAUUUUCCCACUGUCUGUUUUUUCUUUGCUGCCCUUUAGGUUCUGGGUGUACUCCUUGCGUAGCCUUCCUGAUGUUGUCGGCUACAGAGAUCAACAGCCAAGGACAGCUUCUUCUCCCCAGAAGAACCACCUUCUGGAGCAGGAGUCUCGUGCUGAACUCUCCUUGGCACUGCACGGUAAGAGAGUUAAAAAAGAGGGGAGAGAGGGAAAUGGUCAGUGGUAACACAAUGAAAGCACUGAAAGGGAGGUAAAUUCAAAAAUUCAGAAACUAUACUCCCUCAGAUUUCACUAGAUUCUUUGUCUUUGUUUGGUAGAAUUAAGUUUUCUUCAAAAACCCAAAACAAACAAACAAAAAAAACCUGGUGAAACCGUGCCCUGGUGGCAUGUGACUUGAUCCAGUUAUUGAGAAACCCUGGGAAGAGGAGGGGGACUUCUGCAAAGCACGUUAAUUUGUGUCUCCUAGCAUGGCACGGUUGACUGGUUGGCUUUUAUUUGGCAUGGGGCGUUAGCUCCUCAGCAGACAGUUUGGCAUUUCAAGCCUGGGGGAAUUUGGAGAGGUGCCUAACAACCACAGAAGGAGCAUGAGUGGCUUUGCAAGCCUCGGGCCAUCUCUGCAGCUAGCAUAAGUCCUCUAAUAGGGACUUUCUCCUGUUCUCUUUCUGUGUGGUUGGCAGGAAUGAACAGGACCGUCUGUUUUAGGAGGGACUUAGAAAUGCUUUGCCUAAUUUUCCUGCAGCUGUAAUUUUUUGCAGAGAGUCCUUUCCCUGUCCGUUUAUACGAUGCUCUAUUUCUUUACAUUAGGCUCCUCAGCGCAAAGACGUGCCUUUCACAAUCGUAGCCUGAGCCAGGAUCUUCCAGAAACUGCUGCGUUUUGUACGUUAUAUGAGGCUGUGACAGAACCAAUUCAUAGGUCAAAGAUGACAGGAAACAAUAAAAUGCAGAGCUCUGAGACUUGGCA
This 1064-nucleotide long non-coding RNA is filed under the name Struthio camelus australis. Its description in RNAcentral is "lncRNA (ENSSCUG00000017189.1)". Lineage: Eukaryota; Metazoa; Chordata; Aves; Struthioniformes; Struthionidae. The record is from RNAcentral.